AUUUUUUUAGUAUAAUAAAGUACAGUUAACUUCCAAUUAACAAGUUUGAAUUUUCAAGAAAAAUA
RNAcentral lists this transfer RNA (65 nucleotides) under Tagasta indica. Its description in RNAcentral is "tRNA-Gly". The record is from RNAcentral. Lineage: Eukaryota; Metazoa; Arthropoda; Insecta; Orthoptera; Pyrgomorphidae.